This 112-nucleotide non-coding RNA is filed under the name Novosphingobium sp. AAP1. RNAcentral's name for it is "SAM-I/IV (S-adenosyl methionine) riboswitch aptamer". It matches the Rfam family "SAM-I/IV (S-adenosyl methionine) riboswitch aptamer". From Rfam's summary of the family: It is found upstream of a number of genes which code for proteins involved in methionine or cysteine biosynthesis. It has been found mostly in the order Actinomycetales. RNAcentral also lists the same sequence under 1 other name. Lineage: Bacteria; Pseudomonadati; Pseudomonadota; Alphaproteobacteria; Sphingomonadales; Sphingomonadaceae. The record is from Rfam by way of RNAcentral.
GGCCAGCAUCGAGAGUUGGGGGCGACGCCCCAACGCCAACCUGCCGGUUUCCGGGCAAGGUGGCGCUCCCUGACGGGAGGAUGUGGCCGAUCCGGCAACCAAGCGGAGCAAG